GAUCCUGGCUCAGAACGAACGCUGGCGGCAGGCCUAACACAUGCAAGUCGAGCGCGCCCUUCGGGGUGAGCGGCGGACGGGUUAGUAACGCGUGGGAACGUACCCUUUGGUAGGGAAUAGCCACUGGAAACGGUGAGUAAUACCCUAUGAGCCCUUCGGGGGAAAGAUUUAUCGCCAAAGGAUCGGCCCGCGUUAGAUUAGGUAGUUGGUGGGGUAAUGGCCUACCAAGCCUACGAUCUAUAGCUGGUUUUAGAGGAUGAUCAGCAACACUGGGACUGAGACACGGCCCAGACUCCUACGGGAGGCAGCAGUGGGGAAUCUUGGACAAUGGGGGCAACCCUGAUCCCAGCCAUGCCGCGUGAGUGAAGAAGGCCUUAGGGUCGUAAAGCUCUUUCGCCUGUGAAGAUAAUGACGGUAGCAGGUAAAGAAACCCCGGCUAACUCCGUGCCAGCAGCGGC
RNAcentral lists this ribosomal RNA (458 nucleotides) under uncultured bacterium. RNAcentral describes it as "bacterial SSU rRNA". It matches the Rfam family "Bacterial small subunit ribosomal RNA", at positions 15 to 518 of the family's 1533-position model. The record is from RNAcentral.